GGAAUACGUGGGCCGACACAUACUCUCCAUCCCUGCUCCCUCGGCCUCCUCGGCUCCUCCCCACGAUCUCCGUGAAAUUCCUCCCUGCCUUCCACCUUCACCGGCUUCCCUCUGGUAGCUCCUCCCUGACCGAGAUUCCUUGCGAACAGGCCGAGGAAAAAGCCAUACUGAGAAGUAGGAGGAGGCUGGGAGGCGUGCCACAGACCCAGGUAACUAGGGUUUCCUCGAAGUCAUCAAUAAGAGCAGAACGGCGUCGCGGCGGUCGGGGGUCGAUGGAGGAGACCGAUUCCGUGCCGUGCCGGCGAGCAGCAGCUUGCAAGGAGUUCAAGGUUGGCCGGGAUGGCGGCGAUCAGCAGGAUAAGCCAUGUAACGAGACCACGACGGCGGAAAUAGCACCGACGGGAGCAGAACUCGGGGAGGAGCGGCAUCACGCGGAGUUCCCGAAUCCGGCCAUGGCAUGGCGGCGGAGAGCGCCGAUCUGGCCGCCGCGUGAACUCGGGAGGGAGUUGGGGUUUUCCUCCUUUCCUGUUCUUAUCUGUACUUCUAGCGAUUUGUUGCCCCUGUUUAUUUUAUUUUGGUCUGCCGUUCGUUCGUGAUCUUGGAUUGUGAUCAUGAGGUUCCGAUCGGGUGCUCUGGGUUAUUCGUUUCUUUGUUUGGGUUUCGUUCCGAUGCAUCACUCUCCAAUCUCCAUGCCUUAUGAUGUGCUUUUUUUUCUCAGGUAAUCCUAUGAGUGCACGCGCUGCUGCCGACCGUCGACACGACUGGCCUCCUUCGCGAUGCCUCCUUUGGCCCCGCUGGGUAUUGCGGCCAUCAAGAUGUCGUGGUGGUUCUGCCUGUGAUAUGUGAACCCCGUGUUGUCGUCAGGCUGUGGGCGGUCGGCUUGGUUUGGUGUUCGUGUUGUUCCGCCUGUGGCCGUUGUGCCUUCCUUCUACUGCUGGUGGUUGAUUGUUCGCUCCAGUAGUCUGUUCUUCCUGUCGGGGUUCCUGACUUGAUUGGUUCUUUGCCCAUUGUUUCAAAGAAGGAUGCUCGGAAGCGAGAUAUCUGGAUGGGCAAGCAACCAGCUGUUCUGGUUGCGUGAAUGUCUUCAGAAUUUGUUAGCGUUUUGGUAGAUUUCAGUUACAGCAUGCCUCCUUAGCGAUUGCUUAUAGUAUUUUUACUGGGAUUUCUUGUUGUUUGCGUUGCCUUUACAUUGUUGCCUUACAGUCUACUAUUGUUGACGCUCUCCUGGUAUUGCAGUUGCAUCGUUGUGGUAGACCUUGAGGUCUUGGAAGGGGCCGUGGCCGGUCUGCUCGGCAUGCCGUUCUUCCUGUUGCAUCUACCUUUAUGUUUAUAUGUUUUGCGGUUGGUGUUGUGAUUUGGUUUGUGGCCGGCGGUUCCUUCUGUUUGUGGAUAGAAUUAGAAGAUUGAAUAUGUCUCGAUUGUGAGCUAACAUAUUAUUUAUUUUCAGAUUCUGUGGCAGCACGAACACAUCAGCUCUAUGCUCUUAUCAAUUCAUGUCUUCAUCUGAUUGUGUUAAUAAGAAUGGAGAAGCCAUAGAAUGAUGUGCGUAUCAGCCUGCUUAUGACUUCCCUGAAUGGCUUCCUCUCUGCACAUGGUAGCAGUGUCGGUGGUGCAGUCCUAUUUCUAUUUGUCGUUUGAGGAUAGAACUGAGCAGUAUCCAAAAAUGAAUUUAGUUACAACUUUCAGAUGUGGGGUGGACACCCCAGUGCGCUUCUCCUUAUGAUUGCUGCCACUCUUCCCUAUGGCGAUGAAUCAGCCAUUUGGUUGAUGUGUAAUGCGUAUGCAAACGAUGUCAGCUUGAUGGUAAGAGGAGACCACCAGGACGGCACUACAUUGGAACAUAUGGUCACCGGCCAUGAAACUACGUUAAGAAGAAAAAAACUGGCCAUUACCUUACAAUCCCAGAAAACGGUGCACUGCCAAAUGUAUGACACCUACAGCAUGCCACAUGACUGUAUGUAACACUAGACAGAAUAGCCGCGCUGACAGGUCAAUUGCUGCGGCCUAAGAUGCAUCAGCACGUCGCUACCAAAUACUUGCCAGCAGACUAUCGCCAAAGGUCAGCACCUUAUGUAGCAACACCUACGGUUUCUACAUCCAUGCACAGUAUAUGGACGGUAUCAAUCCAUAUGAAACUUGGAUGUUGGAUUUUGCUCCAGGUACACUUAUGAAUGCUCCGGGUCUCUGCUUAUUUGGUUUGGUUCCUUCAUGGUAUAAUAAUUUUUGUUAUAUGUCAACUAUUUUGGUUCCUACAGAAAGACUUUUCCAAUCAUAUGUCGAGAACAACUGCUUCUUAACUAUAUUGAUGUCCAUCAUGUACCAAGGUUAAAAGUUUCUUUACUAUUUAUAUGUUCAUUCUGUGGAAUCGUCUGAGUGUAAGAAUUGAUCUGCUCUUCCUUCUAUUCAGUUCUUUCUUGAAAUUCAACUAGAUGUUUUACUUGAUGCGAGGUGUAAAUUCUCAUGGUAGAUCUGAUUUUUAUGCACAGGCGGCCAAGCAUGAGCGAUUCAAGAGGAUGCUGUUUGCGAAUUAACGAAAUUUUUAAGUGCCAUGAUCAACAAAAUUCACGAUCUGCACACGUGUGGCCAAACCCUUCUCUCAGUUUCAGAGAUUGGCAGCUAAUACACUAAUUCAAUCUAUUACAGACAACCUUGCCAUAUCUAGGGACAUGCCACUCACUUAUCUACCGAUUACAAAUUAUUGUCUCCUUUCCUUGCCAUAAAGAGGCACAACGAACUAUAGGCGCCUUGGUGGAAGAGAAGAAAUUUUUUCACAUCAAUGAAUGCACUUAUCACCUUACUUUAAAAGAAGCAAGUAAAGAGCGCAUAGCACUAGCAACUAGAAGACAUGGGAACACCGACACCGCCCAAUGCACCGUGUUGCUGUACCAUCUUUGCUAAAUUUUGCUACUUAUUUAAGAUAAUCCUGCUAAAUAUGUAAUCCGAGUUCAAAUAUAUAUUUUUGUGCCACUAGCUAACAUCUGUUUUAUCAGUGAAUUUAAA
This is a long non-coding RNA of Lolium perenne, 3000 nucleotides long. RefSeq lists it as uncharacterized. NCBI's taxonomy places the organism in Eukaryota, Viridiplantae, Streptophyta, Magnoliopsida, Poales, Poaceae. The record is from RefSeq and is a predicted model, not a curated record.